AAUAAGAUGCCUGAAAAAAGGGUUAUUUUGAUAGAAUAAAUUAUGUAUAUUUUACUCUUAUUG
RNAcentral lists this transfer RNA (63 nucleotides) under Empoascanara angkhangica. Its description in RNAcentral is "tRNA-Ile". The record is from RNAcentral. Lineage: Eukaryota; Metazoa; Arthropoda; Insecta; Hemiptera; Cicadellidae.